RNAcentral lists this ribosomal RNA (253 nucleotides) under uncultured bacterium. RNAcentral describes it as "partial 16S ribosomal RNA". It matches the Rfam family "Bacterial small subunit ribosomal RNA", at positions 524 to 776 of the family's 1533-position model. The record is from RNAcentral.
UACGUAGGGUGCAAGCGUUGUCCGGAAUUAUUGGGCGUAAAGAGCUCGUAGGCGGUUUGUCGCGUCGAAUGUGAAAACCCGGGGCUCAACCCCGGGCCUGCAUUCGAUACGGGCAGACUAGAGUUCGGUAGGGGAGUCUGGAAUUCCUGGUGUAGCGGUGGAAUGCGCAGAUAUCAGGAGGAACACCAAUAGCGAAGGCAGCUCGCUGGGACGUUACUGACACUGAGGCGCGAAAGCGUGGGGAGCGAACAGG